GGCGCAUUGGUCAAGUGGCUAAGAUAACAGACUUUCAAUCUGUGGUCGGUGGGUUCGACUCCCCCAUGCGUCACCA
RNAcentral lists this transfer RNA (76 nucleotides) under Anaeroselena agilis. Its description in RNAcentral is "tRNA-Glu". It matches the Rfam family "tRNA". Rfam says of the family: Transfer RNA (tRNA) molecules are approximately 80 nucleotides in length. Their secondary structure includes four short double-helical elements and three loops (D, anti-codon, and T loops). Further hydrogen bonds mediate the characteristic L-shaped molecular structure. tRNAs have two regions of fundamental functional importance: the anti-codon, which is responsible for specific mRNA codon recognition, and the 3' end, to which the tRNAs corresponding amino acid is attached (by aminoacyl-tRNA synthetases). tRNAs cope with the degeneracy of the genetic code in two manners: having more than one tRNA (with a specific anti-codon) for a particular amino acid; and 'wobble' base-pairing, i.e. permitting non-standard base-pairing at the 3rd anti-codon position. Lineage: Bacteria; Bacillati; Bacillota; Negativicutes; Acetonemataceae. The record is from RNAcentral.